GUGCUUGCUUUGGCAACACAUAUAUUAAAAAGUAGAAUAAUAUGGAGAAGAUUACCAGGACACCUGUGCAAGGAUGACAUGUAAAUUCAUGAAGUAUUCCACAUGAAA
Molecule: small nuclear RNA, 108 nt
Organism: Urocitellus parryii (Arctic ground squirrel)
Lineage: Eukaryota; Metazoa; Chordata; Mammalia; Rodentia; Sciuridae
Source: Ensembl